This is an RNA transcript of Ipomoea nil (Japanese morning glory), 1324 nucleotides long. RefSeq lists it as uncharacterized. The record is from RefSeq and is a predicted model, not a curated record. Lineage: Eukaryota; Viridiplantae; Streptophyta; Magnoliopsida; Solanales; Convolvulaceae. The transcript has 5 exons.
UCUUGAGAAGUAAUUUUCUUGGUUAGUUUAAUUCCUUGAAGUCUCAUACUCUCUUUCAAUUCAAUGCCUAUAAUGCGCAAAUCGGGUAGAGCAAAUUGCAGUCCUGAGUGAUAGAUGGAUCACUUGGCAGACGCCGAAGAGCAAAUGGUAACGGAGAUAAUGAGGCAAAAACUCAAUGAAAUCACCGCAGCUACGGAGGCCCAACUUUCCGGUGUCAAAGACCACGUCAAUUUCACCCUUCAGCAAGCAUACUUCAAAUGCGCUUAUGAGUGCUUCGAUAGGAGAAAAACUCAAGAGGAGAUAGGGAACUGUGUGGAGUAUUGCAGCGUCCCUGUUCUCAAAGCCCAUUAUCUUGUGGAGGAUGAAACGGCUAAAUUUGCAGAAAACAUGAAAAGGUCAUUGACACUUUGUCAAGAAAAAUUUGUAGCUGCAAAACACCAGCAGGAUGGCAAUGCCAUCAAGGUCUUGGAGUCGUGUGUUGACCUGUCAACUCAACACUGCUUAAAGACAUUACCUUACAUUGUCAGACAAUUGAAGACUUCUCUUGGCAUCACAGGAUAGAGGAACAUCAGAUUACAAUACAAUAUAUAGGCUAAAGAAGGAGCAUAGGGAAGAGACAUAAUAAAUGAAAAAAUCUGCCCAAGACAACCACUCCUCCCUUCAAGGAGAUACUGCCAUAAUGAGGCUGAAGAGAGGCUGCUCAAGGAGAUAUUUCCAACACUCCCCCUCAAGCUGGAGCAUACAAAUCAAAUGUUCCUAGCUUGCUACAAAUGAAAUCAAUCCAAGGUCCAUGAAGAGAUUUAGUGAAGAUAUCGGAUAGUUGAUCAUUUGACCCAACAAAUGUGGUGACAAUGUCUCCGGAUGCAACAUUCUCUCGUAUAAAGUGGCAAUAAACCUCAAUAGGUUAUUAUGCUGAAAAUACUUGUGGGCUGCAAGAUUGUAUGGGCAAAGAAUGUAACACAAAAGUUCACUGGCGCUAUAUUAUUUCUAACAGUCUUCUAUGUGGAUCGAGUCGUUUUAUACAGCAGAACAAUCCCUAAGGGAUGGACUACACAUCUACUGAAAAUGGAGGGAGAAUAGAAGCCUCAGAAGGUGCAGAUGAUCCACAAAAUGUCUCCAUGACUGACCUCUUACCAACAACAGAAGAACAGCCCCCUCGUAGAAAAGAAGCAUGCUUUUAUGCUUCUUAAUGAUCUGAGAAAACAUUUGCAAAUGAUCCGUAUCAGUAUCUUGAUGUAGUACGUACAACUACCAACCCCUGCUAUACAAUUUGGUAUCGUCAAGACCAAAUUAUUAUUAGUGCUAUACUUGUUGGUAGCUGUUC